RNAcentral lists this ribosomal RNA (433 nucleotides) under uncultured organism. Its description in RNAcentral is "bacterial SSU rRNA". It matches the Rfam family "Bacterial small subunit ribosomal RNA", at positions 97 to 562 of the family's 1533-position model. The record is from RNAcentral.
GGCGGACGGGUGAGUAACGCGUAAGAACCUGCCCUUGGGAGGGGAACAACAGCUGGAAACGGCUGCUAAUACCCCAUAGGCUGAGGAGCAAAAGGAGGAAUCCGCCCAAGGAGGGGCUCGCGUCUGAUUAGUUAGUUGGUGAGGCAAUGGCUUACCAAGGCGACGAUCAGUAGCUGGUCCGAGAGGAUGAUCAGCCACACUGGGACUGAGACACGGCCCAGACUCCUACGGGAGGCAGCAGUGGGGAAUUUUCCGCAAUGGGCGAAAGCCUGACGGAGCAAUGCCGCGUGAAGGCAGAAGGCCCACGGGUCAUGAACUUCUUUUCUCGGAGAAGAAAAAAUGACGGUAUCUGAGGAAUAAGCAUCGGCUAACUCUGUGCCAGCAGCCGCGGUAAGACAGAGGAUGCAAGCGUUAUCCGGAAUGAUUGGGCGUA